CGCCUCGCGCCCUCGCCCCUCUUGCUCCCCUCCCGCCGCCAGCCCCGUUGGGGAGAGGAAAAGGAGGAUUAGGAAAUUCUUGUCUGACGAGUAGCAGAAUUUCUCUACGUCGUUGGCUGUUGCAGCGAGGUCCGGGCCUUCGUGGGAUUUGUAAGAAUCUCUGCUUCCCACAUGUUCUUACUCUGCGAUCUGAUCUAGUUUGAUGUUUGUUUUGUCUGGUCUUCGAUUAUGUUAAGAAUCAAUUUAUCAUAGACGAGGUGGUCAAUCAUGAAUCCAUUUUAUAAAUUUGGUGUAAUGAACUCAUUGCUCAUAUUAUUAUUAAUUAUUAGCCUAUAAAUCUAUGAUGAAUAAAAUGGUGAUAGAUCAAUUAAACCAAACAAAAAAAAGUAAGGAGUGAUAAGUUGAUGUCCAAACACACCGUAAAUCUAUCUCUAGCACGUAAGCGUUUUUUAUCUCUCAUAAAGGGUGGUCUAGUUUCAUUCCAGAAAACAAUUUCUAGGGACAAAAAAAAGAAGGGACACUCCCUGUUUCAGCUUCUUCUCUCAAGCAUGCUGAUUUCUUACAUUGUGUAAAGGUGACGUUGAAGUCCUUUCAAUACUAAUGAUGUACAUUUCCUUUUUUUUUGCAGUUCAUACUCUACAGUCGUAUGAUUGAUUCUACAUAUUGAAGAAAAAACAGGGCCUUCGCUAUGGUACUUCGUUUACAUUUGAUUUUACCAAUAUUUAAUGCAUCAUGUACAUAAUAAUCAACCAAAAAUGGAGUUAACCCACCAGCGUGGAAGAAUGAAUUAGAUUUGGCAACGACUGCUAUGCAAGCAGUCCUUCUGUGCAAGCGUGCAAGCAAAUCAUCUGAUCCAUUAGAUUGUGAUCCAACCGUAAGGCAUAUUUAACACUUAAACUCUUCCACCACUAGAUCAAUAAUCUUUAUAAAAAACUCCUAACAAACCAUGAUUAUAUAUGUGGUUGGAUCGUAAUCUAAUGGAUCAGAUGGUUUACUUGUACGGUUGUACAGAAGGACUGCUUACAUAACAGUCGUUGCCAUUAGAUUUGGCGAGCAACACACAGCACUUGAGUCUUUCCUUUCAUGCGCUCCAUAGGGAGAGAGACGGACGGAGAAGAAAAAAAAGUUAUCUACCCUUACCUCUGUGCUAUCGUAGCUGUCGCCAAGCUGCCACACUGGGAGUCCCUCUCCGACGUCCGACUGUCACCGCUAGCCCCCUUCACACGCUGAUCGUGUAUUUUUUUUUUGUCGAAUACGCAGGAGAGCUGCGCAUCUUUGUUAAUAGAAGAAGAUUACGAACACAAAUACAAAAACAAGAGCUGGCCAACCAGCUCAACACAGAGCCGACUACUCGCUCAGAAUACAACCAAGGGCUUUCGCGCCCGCUCUCACCCACUCGCUAGCAACACCAAGAGCGGAAGAAACUACGGCGUCAACUGAGGAUGCCUCACUCCGGAAGCACCUUGCAUUUCUCUCUUUCCAAACUUCCCAAGUCACCAACGCAAAGAGAGAAUCACCGCCCUUCCUGGCGCCCGGUGGCCACAGCUCCCGCACUCUUUGCCACCAACCAAGGACUGAACUGCAAUCUGUUAGCGACGGUAUGUGAAGCCCCAAUUGCGACAAAAUGCCAUCCCAAACUCGAAGGGAGAAGCUGCAAGUGGCCAGUAGAUGGUCGCAAGUUUCUUCCGCUGUAUUGCAGAGGUAGCAAGUGGUUCUCGCAUCGAGUCCGUGACGCCGUCGCCUGUCUGCGGUCCAGAGCCGCCUCCGCCAGGCAAGCCACAAGAAGAUUUUGACCCUCAACGGCGCCCACGUCUUCCACACGAUCGCGAUCUCGGGUAGGUGGAGAGAGCCUUCAUGGAGCAGCUGGUACGUCGAUCGCACACUGAAAUGGCCGUCAGACGACCAACGCCACAACAACCUGUCCGGGGUCGAAGGAGAAAGGUUGAUCUCUCGCACAGCGUCCCACAGCUUCAGGUAUUGAGAGAUCGCCUGAACCGAAAAUCCUCCCCUCAGUUCUCUGAUCCAUUGAUUCCCUUGCAAGGCCACGGCUACGGACUGUGACGAUCUUGUCCGUUUGGCCACGAGGCCAAUCAGCGCAGGAGCGAUGUCUUCGACCGACGAACCGGCGAUCCACCUGUCCUUCCAGAACAACGUCCGCUGCCCGUUGCCGACCUCAAAGUUCGCAGACGCAUGGAACAGGCACCGGACUUCUGGGGCGACCUUCAGAGGUAGCUCCGUCCAGGCCCGGCCAUCGUCCGCGGGAUUGCGUUGAAGCCAAAGCCAGCGAACCUGAAGAGCCAAGCCCAUGAGGCGCAAAUCCAAUACUCCAAGGCCGCCGAACUCAUACGGUCGUGCGACCACGGGCCAGGCCACGGCGCAUUUGCCGCGUACAGAAGCGUCCGCGCCCGCCCACAAGAAGCGUCUGCAGCAGGCCUCAAUCUCCUCUCGUGCCCAAGUUGGAAUACCGUUGGCCAUCAUCGCGUAGAUCGGCACCGCCGUCAUGACUGAUUUAAUCCACACAAGGCGACCACCACGGGACAUCAUCGAUCCUCGCCACGCUGGCAGUCUGGCCGCCACCUUGUCCACGAGUCCCUGUACUUUGUUCUUGGGGAUGGCCCCCGAAUGCAACGGCAGGCCCAAGUAAGUGACAGGCAGCUCGACGAUCUUGCAACCCAAGGAGCACACAACGCCGGCGAGAUCUGUCUCACGGCCUGACAAAGGAGACACAGAGCACUUGGCCAGAUUGAUCUUCAGGCCAGCGGAAUCUCCAAAUAGCAGCAGGAGGCUCUUGAUGGCUUCGACUUCUUCCACGACUGGUUCCAUGAAUAAAAUCACAUCAUCUGCAUAGAAGCUGCAUCUGGAUUUGACAGCUGACGGACCAAGUGGUCUAAGGAUCCCGGCAUCGUCCGCCUUGCAGAACAGCUUGUUAAGAACCUCCAUGGCGAUGAUGAAGAGAAGUGGAGAGAGGGCAUCCCCCUGGCGCACCCCUCUGCGAUGUGUGAUCGGUGCCCCAGGAACGCCAUUUAGCAGUAUCCUGGAGGAAGCUGUAGACAGCAAGAUUGAAAUCCAAUUGCACCAACGAGUACUGAAAUCCAAUUGAAAUCCAAUUGCACCAACGACGCUGAUCGUGUAUUGAAAUAUAGUCUUGUGCUUACCAAAAUAAGUGUGUUAUUGCUUUAGUUGUCUUUGCAUACAUGAUGUUACAACCCAAGUUUAUUGGCAUUUUUCUGCCGUGGAUGCUUCCAGAUGCGCAAAAAAGAAGAAAAAAAGGAGGGAGGUUUCCAUCUUUGCCAUCAGUGGCGGCGCCUCCUGCUUCUUCGUUAGUGACCACGGUCUCCACUGCCAUUGCGCUCCAUGUUCUCGUUGUCGCACGCUUCUCAUGUAUUUUGCGUAUUUUUAAUGUUACAAUACACGCGCGCAUGACGUGCACACUAUACUCUGUAGUUACCAUAUCAAUGCUGGAUUAUUUAAAAUCAAAUCAGCCAUAUAUGAUAUAUUUGAAUUCUGAACAGUCAACCAACUAUAUCGAUACAACAAUAUUUCUGAAAUUAUCAUUUCUUUCCAAGGGACAAAAACUAGCAGUAGUAAACUACCAUAGGAAGGCUUCUACUAUAUAUUAAAGCUCGGAGCAAAUCUGCUCAAACACAAUAUCCAUGUCACCUCUUUUUCACGAACUGUACAAUCCUUUAUCAACGACGAGCACCAGCUGAACCUUUCCUUUCGUGCGCUCCGCACUAAACGCAUGUGUCCUCCUCUAAGCAGAGAAACAGACGAAGAAGAGAAAAAAAAUCCGCUAUCCUUACCUUCGCAACACGUUUUGUCGAGUCGGUCAGCCGAGCUAGGAUGAAAAAAGAAUGACCUCAAUGCUAAAAACUGGUUUGUAGUUUCAGAUGAAAUAGGGUUUGUUCUAUUGUUAUUUUUUAUUCAUAUAGUACUAGAACACAAUUAGUUGGUCAUAAUUUCUUUCAAUCGGCCACCCCCAUCAAUAAGAUAUAUCUGAGUUUGUCAGUUGAUAGCGUUGCAAUUUUUAUUACAGGUUAUCUAUGACAAAUUGACAGGAAGAAACUGUGAAUUCGGGUUGUGACCGUGUCUUCGAUCGAAGAAGUUGAGGCGGUUAUCUUUCAAAAAAAAAGAAGUUGAGGCGGUUGCUGAGCAAUUUAAUGGCUAUGUGAGUUCACUUCAGCUCUUCUAGAGCUAUGCACAUUCUUUUGCUGUCAUAGUGGACCAUUCUCCUGUUUACUUACAAUUGUAAACUUAGCAAUACUCUAUGAAUUAUGUGAUGUUCAUCACUCAUGGCUUCCUACCAGAUCACACAUUGCAUAAAUGAAGUUCAAC
Molecule: long non-coding RNA, 4335 nt
Filed under: Zea mays
Lineage: Eukaryota; Viridiplantae; Streptophyta; Magnoliopsida; Poales; Poaceae
Description: long non-coding RNA (ZMAY_LNC000735)
Source: RNAcentral